Brassica oleracea var. oleracea is the source of this 553-nucleotide long non-coding RNA. RefSeq lists it as uncharacterized. The transcript has 2 exons. The record is from RefSeq and is a predicted model, not a curated record. Lineage: Eukaryota; Viridiplantae; Streptophyta; Magnoliopsida; Brassicales; Brassicaceae.
UUUUUUGGUUCUUUUAACUUUUAAUAAUUAAUUCAAUAAUCUGUAACCUCUCUAUGUAUCUCUUCCUCAUUGUAUCUGAUUGAGUUUGAAUCAGUUUUUGAGCAGGACGUGGUGAUGCCAGAAGAUCUAGCGAAUGUCCUUAGGACAGCGAAAGAGAUUGUCGUUGCCACAGUCCUUCCCGUCACACUUUGCUUUUUGUACAUCUCUAUGCCUUGACGCCGCCGUAGGAACACGCUAUCAAAGCUUGCGGGGUUGGAGGGAGCUCGACGACGGAGGAGGCAAGCAUGGUCUCGUCAGAUACAACAGAGUCAGCAUUAUCUCAACAUUCCGGUCAUGAUAGGAUGAAGGGGAAGAAGAAGAAGGAGGAGACGAAGACGAGAGGCUGUGUGGUUGGCGUCAGUUAUAUCACCACCACCACCACCACCACCACUACCGUCACGCUUGUCACCACCAUGCUCCUUUCCAUUCGAGGCGGCUGGAAUCUUUUUUUUUCUAGGUUUAGAUUUUUUUUACAGAUUUGGUUGAGUGUAAAUCUAGUGGUGGUUUAACUUUA